Molecule: ribosomal RNA, 1233 nt
Filed under: Lactiplantibacillus pentosus
Lineage: Bacteria; Bacillati; Bacillota; Bacilli; Lactobacillales; Lactobacillaceae
Description: bacterial SSU rRNA
Rfam family: Bacterial small subunit ribosomal RNA
Source: RNAcentral
GGCGACGUGCGCGUGCCUAUACAUGCAGUCGAACGAACUCUGGUAUUGAUUGGUGCUUGCAUCAUGAUUUACAUUUGAGUGAGUGGCGAACUGGUGAGUAACACGUGGGAAACCUGCCCAGAAGCGGGGGAUAACACCUGGAAACAGAUGCUAAUACCGCAUAACAACUUGGACCGCAUGGUCCGAGUUUGAAAGAUGGCUUCGGCUAUCACUUUUGGAUGGUCCCGCGGCGUAUUAGCUAGAUGGUGGGGUAACGGCUCACCAUGGCAAUGAUACGUAGCCGACCUGAGAGGGUAAUCGGCCACAUUGGGACUGAGACACGGCCCAAACUCCUACGGGAGGCAGCAGUAGGGAAUCUUCCACAAUGGACGAAAGUCUGAUGGAGCAACGCCGCGUGAGUGAAGAAGGGUUUCGGCUCGUAAAACUCUGUUGUUAAAGAAGAACAUAUCUGAGAGUAACUGUUCAGGUAUUGACGGUAUUUAACCAGAAAGCCACGGCUAACUACGUGCCAGCAGCCGCGGUAAUACGUAGGUGGCAAGCGUUGUCCGGAUUUAUUGGGCGUAAAGCGAGCGCAGGCGGUUUUUUAAGUCUGAUGUGAAAGCCUUCGGCUCAACCGAAGAAGUGCAUCGGAAACUGGGAAACUUGAGUGCAGAAGAGGACAGUGGAACUCCAUGUGUAGCGGUGAAAUGCGUAGAUAUAUGGAAGAACACCAGUGGCGAAGGCGGCUGUCUGGUCUGUAACUGACGCUGAGGCUCGAAAGUAUGGGUAGCAAACAGGAUUAGAUACCCUGGUAGUCCAUACCGUAAACGAUGAAUGCUAAGUGUUGGAGGGUUUCCGCCCUUCAGUGCUGCAGCUAACGCAUUAAGCAUUCCGCCUGGGGAGUACGGCCGCAAGGCUGAAACUCAAAGGAAUUGACGGGGGCCCGCACAAGCGGUGGAGCAUGUGGUUUAAUUCGAAGCUACGCGAAGAACCUUACCAGGUCUUGACAUACUAUGCAAAUCUAAGAGAUUAGACGUUCCCUUCGGGGACAUGGAUACAGGUGGUGCAUGGUUGUCGUCAGCUCGUGUCGUGAGAUGUUGGGGUUAAGUCCCGCAACGAGCGCAACCCUUAUUAUCAGUUGCCAGCAUUAAGUUGGGCACUCUGGUGGAGACUGCCGGUGACAAACCGGAGGAAAGGGGGGGGGGAAGAAAGUCAAAUCAUCAUGGCCCCUUAUGACCUGGGGGUACACACCUG